UAUAUCAGUACCUCAUUUUCUCUAUGCUUUAUAUUCUUUUGCCCCUAAAAUAAUUCUCUAUCCUAUUUUAAUUGCCCAUUUUUCUGUAAAUCAAUCCAAUCCCUUUCAUUGUGUAAAAAGAUGAUGUACUGCUCGUGUAGAUUUUCAAAGAUCUUUCAUUUGUUGAAUUAUAUAAUAAAAACCUUUUUUAAUCAUUUUUUUAAAUCCAUCAUGGACUUUCAUAAUAA
RNAcentral lists this long non-coding RNA (227 nucleotides) under Mytilus galloprovincialis (Mediterranean mussel). Lineage: Eukaryota; Metazoa; Mollusca; Bivalvia; Mytilida; Mytilidae. The record is from RNAcentral.